RNAcentral lists this ribosomal RNA (230 nucleotides) under uncultured Alicycliphilus sp. RNAcentral's name for it is "partial 16S ribosomal RNA". It matches the Rfam family "Bacterial small subunit ribosomal RNA", at positions 548 to 774 of the family's 1533-position model. Lineage: Bacteria; Pseudomonadati; Pseudomonadota; Betaproteobacteria; Burkholderiales; Comamonadaceae. The record is from RNAcentral.
AGAGAUGCACUGGGUUUAAAGCGUGCGCAGGCGGUUUUGUAAGACAGAGGUGAAAUCCCCGGGCUCAACCUGGGAACUGCCUUUGUGACUGCAAGGCUGGAGUGCGGCAGAGGGGGAUGGAAUUCCGCGUGUAGCAGUGAAAUGCGUAGAUAUGCGGAGGAACACCGAUGGCGAAGGCAAUCCCCUGGGCCUGCACUGACGCUCAUGCACGAAAGCGUGGGGAGCAAACA